Molecule: ribosomal RNA, 385 nt
Filed under: uncultured bacterium
Lineage: Bacteria
Description: bacterial SSU rRNA
Rfam family: Bacterial small subunit ribosomal RNA
Source: RNAcentral
GACGAACGCUGGCGGCGUGCUUAACACAUGCAAGUCGAACGGUGAACCAGAGCUUGCUCUGGGGAUCAGUGGCGAACGGGUGAGUUAACACGUUGGGCAACCUGCCCCAGACUCUGGGGAUAACCUCGGGGAAACCGAUGCUAAUACCGGAUACGACCACUUCGGACAUCCGACGGUGUGGAAAGUUUUUCGGUCUGGGAUGGGCCCGCGGCCUAUCAGCUAGUUGUGGGGUAAUGGCCUACCAAGGCGACGACGGGUAGCCGGCCUGAGAGGGCGACCGGCCACACUGGAACUGAGACACGGUCCAGACUCCUACGGGAGGCAGCAGUGGGGAAUAUUGCACAAUGGGCGAAAGCCUGAUGCAGCGACGCCGCGUGAGGGGACG